Molecule: ribosomal RNA, 253 nt
Filed under: uncultured bacterium
Lineage: Bacteria
Description: partial 16S ribosomal RNA
Rfam family: Bacterial small subunit ribosomal RNA
Source: RNAcentral
UACGGGGGGGGUAAGCGUUGUUCGGAAUUACUGGGCGUAAAGGGCUCGUAGGCGGCCAACUAAGUCAUACGUGAAAUCCCUCAGCUUAACUGGGGAACUGCGUGUGAUACUGGUUGGCUUGAGUUUGGGAGAGGGAUGCGGAAUUCCAGGUGUAGCGGUGAAAUGCGUAGAUAUCUGGAGGAACACCGGUGGCGAAGGCGGCAUCCUGGACCAAUACUGACGCUGAGGAGCGAAAGCCAGGGGAGCAAACGGG